RNAcentral lists this unclassified non-coding RNA (335 nucleotides) under soil metagenome. RNAcentral describes it as "partial contains 5.8S ribosomal RNA, internal transcribed spacer 2, and large subunit ribosomal RNA". The stretch from base 1 to 120 matches the Rfam family "5.8S ribosomal RNA", at positions 35 to 154 of the family's 154-position model. The record is from RNAcentral.
GAUGAAGAACGUAGCGAAAUGUGAUAAGUAAUGUGAAUUGCAGAAUUCAGUGAAUCAUCGAAUCUUUGAACGCACAUUGCGCCCGCCAGUAUUCUGGCGGGCAUGCCUGUUCGAGCGUCAUUUCAACCAUCAAGCCCCCGGCUUGUGUUGGGGACCUGCGGCUGCCGCAGGCCCUGAAAACCAGUGGCGGGCUCGCUAGUCACUCCGAGCGUAGUAAUACAUCUCGCUCAGGGCGUGCUGCGGGUUCCGGCCGUUAAAAAGCCUUAUUUACCCAAGGUUGACCUCGGAUCAGGUAGGAAGACCCGCUGAACUUAAGCAUAUCAAUAAGCGGAGGA